Molecule: long non-coding RNA, 585 nt
Filed under: Pan troglodytes (chimpanzee)
Lineage: Eukaryota; Metazoa; Chordata; Mammalia; Primates; Hominidae
Description: long non-coding RNA NONPTRT015106
Source: RNAcentral
CAGGGGUCCCUGAGUUUUGGCUCCUGCAGUUUGAGGGCUCCUUCCCAGGAGUUUGCAGUCCUUUCUGAGUUGCGACGGCUCCAGAAUGAAUGUCGUGGCUAUAACCUCCAACCUGACCAUGAUAUCCAGAGGUGGCUACAGGGGCUCCGGCCACUGACAGAGGCUCAGAGGUGACUGGCGGGUGAGGUUGGGACUCCAGGGUUCUGGCCAGGUGUGGGGGAUUGGUGUCAUGUCCUGAGCUCUGCCUAUUGCCCCCCUAACCCAGCCAUCGUGUAUCCUGUGAGGUGGAGCCACCUGGUUCCAGUGACCCUCCUGCCCCACGGGUGCUUCGGCCAACAUUGGUCAUCUCGCAGUGGACAGAGGUUUUGGGCUCUGUUGGGGUCCCUACCCCGCUUGUGUCCUGUGACCGGCCCAGUAUUGGGGGAGAUGAGGCGCCUACAACUCCUGCUCCUCUGCUGACUCGGCUGGCCCAGCACAUGAAGUGGCCAUCUGUCUCGUCACUAGACUCUGCCUUGGAAAGCAGUCCAUCCCUGCACAGUCCAGCUGACCCCAGCCACCUCUCCCCACCAGCCUCCUCCCCUAGGC